This is a small nucleolar RNA of Arvicanthis niloticus (Nile rat), 153 nucleotides long. RefSeq annotates it as small nucleolar RNA SNORA57. The record is from RefSeq and is a predicted model, not a curated record. NCBI's taxonomy places the organism in Eukaryota, Metazoa, Chordata, Mammalia, Rodentia, Muridae.
CCUCCUUUUCUUGGCGGGGACCGGGGGCGUGCGGUCCCGUUCCCCCCCGUAAUGUACAGAGGUAGAAGAAAGGGCUCCGGUCCUCUCAGCAUCAUGUCUUCAGUGCUUGAGGCCUCCCAUUCGCCGGUUCUAUCCUCAGACGCCGGAACACCU